Molecule: ribosomal RNA, 253 nt
Filed under: uncultured bacterium
Lineage: Bacteria
Description: partial 16S ribosomal RNA
Rfam family: Bacterial small subunit ribosomal RNA
Source: RNAcentral
GACGAACCGUGCGAACGUUGUUCGGAAUCACUGGGCUUAAAGGGCGCGUAGGCGGACACUCAAGUCGGUGGUGAAAUCCUCCGGCCUAACCGGAGAAGAGCUGUCGAUACUGGGUGUCUCGAGUGGUGUAGGGGUCUGUGGAACUGCGGGUGGAGCGGUGAAAUGCGUAGAGAUCCGCAGGAACGCCGGUGGCGAAAGCGACGGACUGGACACCUUCUGACGCUGAGGCGCGAAAGCCAGGGGAGCAAACGGG